This 952-nucleotide long non-coding RNA is filed under the name Sarcophilus harrisii (Tasmanian devil). Its description in RNAcentral is "lncRNA (ENSSHAG00000031596.1)". The record is from RNAcentral. Lineage: Eukaryota; Metazoa; Chordata; Mammalia; Dasyuromorphia; Dasyuridae.
ACAGUCACAAAUAGAAGAUUUGAUCAUAAAUAUCAACAUUUUUUGAAUUAUAUUCUCCUUCUUCACAAACAGAUUAAUUUUACCUAAAGCCUUAACCUGAAAAUGGUUCCUUAAGGGAGCAUAAGUUAGACAAGGUAUUAUUAUUCGAUCAAUAGCGAUGAAGGAGCCUGAGGUAGUCACUAUAUUUCACAUGGAAAAAUGAACUCAUGGCUAUCCAAAGGAUUAGAGCAGAAACAAAGAAGAAAUCUUGAACCAAUUUCAAGAAAGUUUAUCCUGAUAUUUGAAUCUCCUGCAAGACCUGGGUUGCAGGUGAGUGAACUCAGGACAAGGUCUAUAAUGACAUUUUUAGCUGAAUUUCCAAAUCUUGGUGAUAUGAUUGUCCUCGAAUGACAAGGCACAAUUUGCAAAUGUCCUGUGGUGGGAAUGUGCUGUGUGGCUUCAUCCUGGCAAUUUGAUUCAGCCAAUUAAACAGCCCCUGAUGAGAAACCCUAGGACAGGAAGCCCUGCCAGAACCAUGCCCACCAAUUCUAUAGUUUGCAAUAUUUUCCCCCAAAGGCUCUGUGCAAUUGCUUUUAUAUUGAUCAUUUGAGGCAUGGCCACAGGAAACUGGUUUGAAAACUGAAAUGUCAGAUCAUUUUCCUGAAAACAUACCAGCUUUUUCCUGAUUAAAACACUGUAAGAAAGUAUUUCUUGUAUUAGUACAAAUCCCCCGAGGUAUCUCUUAUUCUAAAUAAUAGGCCUUUUUUAACUACUUGCCUAAAGAUAUCACACUGGUAAUCGGUGGUAAGGAGUGAAUGUACUAGCAUAGCAAGCUAUCAGCCCACCAUCCCCAAACAUGGUCAGCCUAAUAAAUAGGGAUUUUGGUAAUUCCUUCCAUGACUCUCUUGAAUUCUUCUUGGUCUAGUUUAAUCUCUCUGUCUCUUGAUUGGUUAAUUAAGAAACUGAAGAUAAA